AUUAAGAUGGUCGAUUAAGGCAGUAAACUGUAAAUUUACCUAUGAGAAUUUUUCUCUCUUAGUAA
Molecule: transfer RNA, 65 nt
Filed under: Alobaldia tobae
Lineage: Eukaryota; Metazoa; Arthropoda; Insecta; Hemiptera; Cicadellidae
Description: tRNA-Tyr
Source: RNAcentral